AAUGCACCAAUUUGUAAGUCGCUCUGGAUAAGAGCAUCUGCUAAAUUACUAAAA
Salmo salar (Atlantic salmon) is the source of this 54-nucleotide non-coding RNA. The record is from Rfam. Lineage: Eukaryota; Metazoa; Chordata; Actinopteri; Salmoniformes; Salmonidae.